GAACCGUACAAACGUUUAUUCGGAAUCACUGGGCUUAAAGGGUGCGUAGGCGGUCCAGAAAGUUGGGUGUGAAAGCCCUCGGCUCAACCGAGGAAUUGCGCUCAAAACUUCUGGACUAGAGGAAGGUAGAGGUAAGCGGAACUUAGGGUGGAGCGGUGAAAUGCGUUGAUAUCCUAAGGAACACCAGUUGCGAAGGCGGCUUACUGGACCUUUUCUGACGCUGAGGCACGAAAGCUAGGGGAGCGAACGGGAUUAGGUACCCCGGUAGUCCUAGCUGUAAACGAUGAGCACUGGGUUGGAGGCCCCCUCAUAGGCUUCCCUGCCCGUAGCGAAAGUGUUAAGUGCUCCGCCUGGGGAGUAUGGUCGCAAGGCUG
RNAcentral lists this ribosomal RNA (374 nucleotides) under uncultured organism. RNAcentral's name for it is "partial 16S ribosomal RNA". It matches the Rfam family "Bacterial small subunit ribosomal RNA", at positions 527 to 896 of the family's 1533-position model. The record is from RNAcentral.